RNAcentral lists this ribosomal RNA (452 nucleotides) under uncultured bacterium. RNAcentral's name for it is "bacterial SSU rRNA". It matches the Rfam family "Bacterial small subunit ribosomal RNA", at positions 29 to 506 of the family's 1533-position model. The record is from RNAcentral.
AUGAACGCUGGCGGCGUGCCUAAUACAUGCAAGUCGAACGGAGUGCAGUAAUGUACUUAGUGGCGACCGGGUGCGUAACACGUAGCUGACCUGCCCCUCGGCGGGGGACAACAGUACGAAAGUGCUGCUAAUACCGCAUACCUUUCUCGCAUUUAGAACACGAGAAAGAAACUUUAGGGGCCGAGGGAGGGGGCUGCGGCCCAUCAGGUAGUUGGUGAGGUAACGGCUCACCAAGCCAACGACGGGUCGGGGGCCUGAGAGGGUGGCCCCCCACACUGGGACUGACAAACGGCCCAGACUCCUACGGGAGGCAGCAGUAAGGGAUAUUGCGCAAUGGGCGAAAGCCUGACGCAGCAACGCCGCGUGCAGGAUGAAGGCCUUCGGGUCGUAAACUGCUUUGGCGCGGGACGAGGAAGGACGGUACCGCGCGAACAAGUCACGGCUAACUACGU